Molecule: ribosomal RNA, 253 nt
Filed under: uncultured bacterium
Lineage: Bacteria
Description: partial 16S ribosomal RNA
Rfam family: Bacterial small subunit ribosomal RNA
Source: RNAcentral
UACAGAGGUGGCAAGCGUUGUUCGGAAUUACUGGGCGUAAAGGGCGCGUAGGCGGCCAUCUAAGUCAGACGUGAAAUCCCCCGGCUUAACCUGGGAACUGCGUCUGAUACUGGACGGCUUGAGUAUGGGAGAGGGAUGUAGAAUUCCAGGUGUAGCGGUGAAAUGCGUAGAUAUUGGGAGGAACACCAGUGGCGAAGGCGGCUCACUGGACCGGAACUGACGCUGAGGUGCGAAAGCGUGGGGAGCAAACAGG